GACGAACGCUGGCGGCGUGCUUAACACAUGCAAGUCGAACGGAAAGGCCCUGCUUUUGUGGGGUGCUCAAGUGGCGAACGGGUGAGUAACACGUGAGUAACCUGCCCUUGACUUUGGGAUAACUUCAGGAAACUGGGGCUAAUACCGGAUAGGAGCUCCUGCUGCAUGGUGGGGGUUGGAAAGUUUCGGCGGUUGGGGAUGGACUCGCGGCUUAUCAGCUUGUUGGUGGGGUAGUGGCUUACCAAGGCUUUGACGGGUAGCCGGCCUGAGAGGGUGACCGGCCACAUUGGGACUGAGAUACGGCCCAGACUCCUCCGGGAGGCAGCAGUGGGGAAUAUUGCACCAUGGGCGGAAGCCUGAUGCAGCAACGCCGCGUGCGGGAUGACGGCCUUCGGGUUGUAAACCGCUUUCGCCUGUGACGAAGCGUGAGUGACGGUAAUGGGUAAAGAAGCACCGGCUAACUACGUG
Molecule: ribosomal RNA, 468 nt
Filed under: uncultured bacterium
Lineage: Bacteria
Description: partial 16S ribosomal RNA
Rfam family: Bacterial small subunit ribosomal RNA
Source: RNAcentral